This is a long non-coding RNA of Vombatus ursinus (common wombat), 354 nucleotides long. Lineage: Eukaryota; Metazoa; Chordata; Mammalia; Diprotodontia; Vombatidae. The record is from Ensembl.
CUUCCCUCAAAGAACUUAGGAUCCAGCAGAAACGCAUUCCUGUCACAUUCAAUGUUCACAAAAGACUUUCCUUACAGCAACCUUGGGAGGUAAUUGGACCCUAGAUGCACACUGGAGCCUGAGUUAUGGCAUCAUGGACCAAACAAUCAAACCUGGGCCAAACAAUCAAACCUGGGCCUUCCACUGGUUAGGACAGUGGAUAGAGACAGCUUAGCACAAGUACUGAAUGGAGCGACUGGGACCAGGCCCUGUCCUUUGCAACAAUUCCUGACUUCUUUAAAAUUGUAUUUUAUGUUACAUUUUUUCUGAACAUAACAAAUACCAAAUAAAGUGAACAUUUCAGUAUGUGUUACA